This 357-nucleotide unclassified non-coding RNA is filed under the name soil metagenome. Its description in RNAcentral is "partial contains 5.8S ribosomal RNA, internal transcribed spacer 2, and large subunit ribosomal RNA". The stretch from base 1 to 119 matches the Rfam family "5.8S ribosomal RNA", at positions 35 to 154 of the family's 154-position model. The record is from RNAcentral.
GAUGAAGAACUUAGUGAAAUGCGAUAAGUAAUGCGAAUUGCAGAAUCCGUGAGUCAUCGAAUCUUUGAACGCACAUUGCGCCCGUCAGUAUUCUGGCGGGCAUGCCUGUUCGAGCGUCAUUACGCCCCUCAAGUCCCCUGUGGACUUGGUGUUGGGGAUCGGCGAGGCUGGUUUUCCAGCACAGCCGUCCCUUAAAUUAAUUGGCGGUCUCGCCGUGGCCCUCCUCUGCGCAGUAGUAAAACACUCGCAACAGGAGCCCGGCGCGGUCCACUGCCGUAAAACCCCCCAACUUUUUAUAGUUGACCUCGAAUCAGGUAGGACUACCCGCUGAACUUAAGCAUAUCAAUAAGCGGAGGA